CUACGGGAGGCUGCAGUGGGGAAUAUUGCACAAUGGAGGAAACUCUGAUGCAGCAACGCCGCGUGGAGGAUGACGCAUUUCGGUGUGUAAACUCCUUUUAUAUGUCAAGAAAAUGACGGUAGCAUAUGAAUAAGCACCGGCUAACUCCGUGCCAGCAGCCGCGGUAAUACGGAGGGUGCAAGCGUUACUCGGAAUCACUGGGCGUAAAGGACGCGUAGGCGGGUUGGAAAGUCAGGUGUGAAAUCCUACAGCUUAACUGUAGAACUGCACUUGAAACUUCUAAUCUAGAGUAUGGGAGGGGGAGAUGGAAUUAGUGGUGUAGGGGUAAAAUCCGUAGAUAUCACUAGGAAUACCUAAAGCGAAGGCGAUCUCCUGGAACAUUACUGACGCUAAGGCGUGAAAGCGUGGGGAGCAAACAGGAUUAGAUACCCGAGUAGUC
This 439-nucleotide ribosomal RNA is filed under the name uncultured bacterium. RNAcentral's name for it is "partial 16S ribosomal RNA". It matches the Rfam family "Bacterial small subunit ribosomal RNA", at positions 339 to 795 of the family's 1533-position model. The record is from RNAcentral.